This 74-nucleotide transfer RNA is filed under the name Stieleria maiorica. Its description in RNAcentral is "tRNA-Lys". It matches the Rfam family "tRNA". From Rfam's summary of the family: Transfer RNA (tRNA) molecules are approximately 80 nucleotides in length. Their secondary structure includes four short double-helical elements and three loops (D, anti-codon, and T loops). Lineage: Bacteria; Pseudomonadati; Planctomycetota; Planctomycetia; Pirellulales; Pirellulaceae. The record is from RNAcentral.
GAGAGUGUAGCUCAGUCGGUAGAGCAUUCGACUUUUAAUCGAAUGGUCCUGGGUUCAAGUCCCAGCACUCUCAC